This 389-nucleotide ribosomal RNA is filed under the name Spongiibacteraceae bacterium. RNAcentral's name for it is "bacterial LSU rRNA". It matches the Rfam family "Bacterial large subunit ribosomal RNA", at positions 2546 to 2925 of the family's 2925-position model. The record is from RNAcentral. Lineage: Bacteria; Pseudomonadati; Pseudomonadota; Gammaproteobacteria; Cellvibrionales; Spongiibacteraceae.
CCUGGGGCUGAAGCCGGUCCCAAGGGUAUGGCUGUUCGCUAUUUAAAGUGGUACGCGAGCUGGGUUCAGAACGUCGUGAGACAGUUCGGUCCCUAUCUGCCGUGGGCGUUGGAGAUUUGAGGAAAGCUGCUUCUAGUACGAGAGGACCGAAGUGGACGAACCUCUGGUGUUCGGGUUGUGUCGCCAGACGCAUUGCCCGGUAGCUAUGUUCGGACGGGAUAACCGCUGAAAGCAUCUAAGCGGGAAGCCUCCUUCAAGAUAAGUUCUCCCUGGGACUUUAAGUCCCCUAAAGAGCCGUUCAAGACCAGGACGUUGAUAGGCAGGGUGUGGAAGCGUUGUGAGGCGUUGAGCUAACCUGUACUAAUUGCUCGUGAGGCUUGACCAUAUAA